AAUGCGCUAAGUAAUGUGCAUUGCAGAAUUCAGUGAAUCAUCGAAUCUUUGAACGCACCUUGCGCUCCUUGGUAUUCCUUGGAGCAUGCCUGUUUGAGUAUCAUGAAAUCUUCAAAGUAAAUCUUUUGUUAACUCAAUUGGUUUCUACUUUGGUAUUGGAGGUCUUUGCAGCUUCACACCUGCUCCUCUUUGUUCAUUAGCUGGAUCUCAGUGUUAUGCUUGGUUCCACUCGGCGUGAUAAGUUAUCUAUCGCUGAGGACACUGUAAAAGGUGGCCAAGGUAAAUGCAGAUGAACCGCUUCUAAUAGUCCAUUGACUUGGACAAUACUUUUAUGAUCUGAUCUCAAAUCAGGUAGGACUACCCGCUGAACUUAAGC
Molecule: unclassified non-coding RNA, 376 nt
Filed under: plant metagenome
Description: partial contains 5.8S ribosomal RNA, internal transcribed spacer 2, and large subunit ribosomal RNA
Rfam family: 5.8S ribosomal RNA (bases 1-103)
Source: RNAcentral